AUGUUUGGUGUCAGCCCAGCUGUGUUGCAGCUCCAGCUUCAUUUGCCAAACAUGCAUACAGUCGCAUUUCAGGCUUAUGAAAAUCUGGAAGAUGUUGUCGCUCGACCAUCUUCUUCCAAAUCCAUGCUUACCGAGUACUUUGGGAUGAACCAAAAGUAUCCAGAGGCACGAAAAUUGUUGUACAGAGAGUUCCCAGAACAUUAUAGGUGGAUAGCCAGUAAUAAGAAGUGGCAACCGAGAAAAAAAUAA
Molecule: ribosomal RNA, 249 nt
Filed under: Triticum aestivum (bread wheat)
Lineage: Eukaryota; Viridiplantae; Streptophyta; Magnoliopsida; Poales; Poaceae
Description: partial small subunit ribosomal RNA
Source: RNAcentral